Molecule: ribosomal RNA, 462 nt
Filed under: uncultured Sphingobacteriales bacterium
Lineage: Bacteria; Pseudomonadati; Bacteroidota; Sphingobacteriia; Sphingobacteriales
Description: bacterial SSU rRNA
Rfam family: Bacterial small subunit ribosomal RNA
Source: RNAcentral
CCCGCACAAGCGGAGGAACAUGUGGUUUAAUUCGAUGAUACGCGAGGAACCUUACCUGGGCUUAAAUGUAGAGUGCAUUUUCUAGAGAUAGGAAUUCCCUUCGGGGCUUUCUACAAGGUGCUGCAUGGUUGUCGUCAGCUCGUGCCGUGAGGUGUCGGGUUAAGUCCCAUAACGAGCGCAACCCUUAUCGUUAGUUGCCAUCUGGUAAAGCAGGGGACUCUAGCGAAACUGCCACCGUAAGGUGAGAGGAAGGUGGGGAUGACGUCAAAUCAGCACGGCCCUUAUGUCCAGGGCUACACACGUGUUACAAUGGUCGGUACAGAGGGCAGCUACCUGGUGACAGGAUGCUAAUCUCGAAAACCGGCCUCAGUUCGGAUCGAAGUCUGCAACUCGACUUCGUGAAGCUGGGUUCGCUAGUAAUCGCGCAUCAGCCAAGCCGCGGUGAAUACGUUCCCGGGCCUU